Molecule: ribosomal RNA, 694 nt
Filed under: uncultured beta proteobacterium
Lineage: Bacteria; Pseudomonadati; Pseudomonadota; Betaproteobacteria
Description: bacterial SSU rRNA
Rfam family: Bacterial small subunit ribosomal RNA
Source: RNAcentral
ACACAUGCAAGUCGAACGGUAACAGGUCUUCGGAUGCUGACGAGUGGCGAACGGGUGAGUAAUACAUCGGAACGUGCCUAGUAGUGGGGGAUAACUACUCGAAAGAGUAGCUAAUACCGCAUGAGAUCUACGGAUGAAAGCAGGGGACCUUCGGGCCUUGUGCUACUAGAGCGGCUGAUGGCAGAUUAGGUAGUUGGUGGGGUAAAGGCUUACCAAGCCUGCGAUCUGUAGCUGGUCUGAGAGGACGACCAGCCACACUGGGACUGAGACACGGCCCAGACUCCUACGGGAGGCAGCAGUGGGGAAUUUUGGACAAUGGGCGAAAGCCUGAUCCAGCAAUGCCGCGUGCAGGAUGAAGGCCCUCGGGUUGUAAACUGCUUUUGUACGGAACGAAAAGCCUGGGGCUAAUACCCCCGGGUCAUGACGGUACCGUAAGAAUAAGCACCGGCUAACUACGUGCCAGCAGCCGCGGUAAUACGUAGGGUGCAAGCAUUAAUCGGAAUUACUGGGCGUAAAGCGUGCGCAGGCGGUUUUGUAAGACAGUGGUGAAAUCCCCGGGCUCAACCUGGGAACUGCCAUUGUGACUGCAAGGCUAGAGUGCGGCAGAGGGGGAUGGAAUUCCGCGUGUAGCAGUGAAAUGCGUAGAUAUGCGGAGGAACACCGAUGGCGAAGGCAAUCCCCUGGGCCUGCACUG